Molecule: ribosomal RNA, 465 nt
Filed under: Vreelandella stevensii
Lineage: Bacteria; Pseudomonadati; Pseudomonadota; Gammaproteobacteria; Oceanospirillales; Halomonadaceae
Description: partial 16S ribosomal RNA
Rfam family: Bacterial small subunit ribosomal RNA
Source: RNAcentral
CCUACGAGGGGCUGCAGUGGGGAAUAUUGGACAAUGGGCGAAAGCCUGAUCCAGCCAUGCCGCGUGUGUGAAGAAGGCCUUCGGGUUGUAAAGCACUUUCAGUGGGGAAGAAAGCCUUGGGGCUAAUACCCUCGAGGAAGGACAUCACCCACAGAAGAAGCACCGGCUAACUCCGUGCCAGCAGCCGCGGUAAUACGGAGGGUGCGAGCGUUAAUCGGAAUUACUGGGCGUAAAGCGCGCGUAGGCGGUCUGAUAAGCCGGUUGUGAAAGCCCCGGGCUCAACCUGGGAACGGCAUCCGGAACUGUCAGGCUAGAGUGCAGGAGAGGAAGGUAGAAUUCCCGGUGUAGCGGUGAAAUGCGUAGAGAUCGGGAGGAAUACCAGUGGCGAAGGCGGCCUUCUGGACUGACACUGACGCUGAGGUGCGAAAGCGUGGGUAGCAAACAGGAUUAGAUACCCCGGUAGUC